RNAcentral lists this ribosomal RNA (460 nucleotides) under uncultured bacterium. Its description in RNAcentral is "partial 16S ribosomal RNA". It matches the Rfam family "Bacterial small subunit ribosomal RNA", at positions 338 to 795 of the family's 1533-position model. The record is from RNAcentral.
CCUACGGGAGGCAGCAGUGAGGAAUAUUGGUCAAUGGACGAGAGUCUGAACCAGCCAAGUAGCGUGAAGGAUGACUGCCCUAUGGGUUGUAAACUUCUUUUAUAUGGGAAUAAAACGUUCCACGUGUGGGAUUUUGUAUGUACCAUAUGAAUAAGGAUCGGCUAACUCCGUGCCAGCAGCCGCGGUAAUACGGAGGAUCCGAGCGUUAUCCGGAUUUAUUGGGUUUAAAGGGAGCGUAGGUGGAUUGUUAAGUCAGUUGUGAAAGUUUGCGGCUCAACCGUAAAAUUGUAGUUGAAACUGGCAGUCUUGAGUACAGUAGAGGUGGGCGGAAUUCGGGGUGUAGCGGUGAAAUGCUUAGAUAUCACGAAGAACUCCGAUUGCGAAGGCAGUUCACUGGACUGCAACUGACACUGAGGCUCGAAAGUGUGGGUAUCAAACAGGAUUAGAUACCCGGGUAGUC